Molecule: ribosomal RNA, 478 nt
Filed under: Potomida littoralis
Lineage: Eukaryota; Metazoa; Mollusca; Bivalvia; Unionida; Unionidae
Description: partial large subunit ribosomal RNA
Source: RNAcentral
UGAGAGUUCAAGAGUACGUGAAACCGCUUAGAGGCAAACGGGUGGACCCGCAAUACGUCGACCCGGGGGAUUCAACCAGGCCGUGCGUUCGGGACGCGUGGGGGUUAUGCGGAGCUGUAAAGCCCGUGCCUUUGCGUGGGUCUCCGGGCGGACUGGUGCACUUUCCUCGGGUUGAUUGCCACGACCGGCUCUCCGCGCGGCCAUAAGCCUGUUGCUGGUAAGGUGACCGUCGGCCCCAGCGCCGGCGGUGUUAUAGACCAGCUUGUUCGUUGCGCUCGUCGGAGGGCCGAGGAAGUUGCCGUUUCUCAGCACCCUCUGGCCAUCCUUGCUCGUCACGACUGGGGUGAACUGCUUCGCCAGUGCUCUCCCGACCGCGAGCGUAGGAAGGGCUGGUACGGUGCGAGGAUGCUUCGGGCCAGUGGCGAAUCGGUCGGUCCUCCACCCGACCCGUCUUGAAACACGGACCAAGGUCUAACAA